UCAGAGUGAACGCUAGCGGCGCGCCUAACACAUGCAAGUCGAGUGGGUUUAGACCCACGGCAAACGGCUGCGUAACACGUUGGUAUCUGCCCCAGACUCAGGGAUAACCCCGCGAAAGCGGGGCUAAUACCGGAUAGCCUCGGCUCCUCUGUGGAGUCGCCGAGGAAAUUCCAAAUCCCAAAUCCCAAUCACACAAGGAAGCUUCAAUAAUCAAAUUUCAAAAAUUUAUUAUUAAAGCUUGGAUAUUCCUUGGUGAUUGCGUGAUUCGGUGAUUGGAAUUUCCGAAAAAUCUCCUACGGGAGAUGCGACUUUAGAGAGGAGUCGAGUAAAGAUUUUUCGGUCUGGGAGGAGCCUGCGGCCUAUCAGCUAGUUGGUGAGGUAACGGCUCACCAAGGCAAUGACGGGUAGCUGGUCUGAGAGGACGACCAGCCAGAAUGGAACUGAGACACGGUCCAUACUCCUACGGGAGGCAGCAGUGAGGAAUCUUCCGCAAUGGGCGAAAGCCUGACGGAGCGACGCCGCGUGAAGGAUGAAGGCCCAUACGGGUCGUAAACUUCUGUUCUGAGGGACGAAAUUUUUGACGGUACCUCAGGAGAAAGUAUCGGCAAACCCUGUGCCAGCAGCCGCGGUAAGACAGGGGAUACAAGCGUUACUCGGAAUCACUGGGCGUAAAGCGUCUGUAGGUUCUUUAGUAAGUCUGCGGUAAAAGCUCAGGGCUUAACCCUGAGAGCGUCGCGGAAACUACUAGAGUGGAGUAGUGCAGAGGCAUCUGGAAUGUCGCAUGUAGGAGUAAAAUCCGUAGAGAUGCGAUGGAACGCCAAAAGCGAAGGCAGGAUGCUGGGCACUUACUGACACUGAGAGACGAAAGCGUGGGGAGCGAAGCGGAUUAGAUACCCGCGUAGUCCACGCCCUAAACGAUGCGAGCUCGAU
Molecule: ribosomal RNA, 930 nt
Filed under: uncultured bacterium
Lineage: Bacteria
Description: bacterial SSU rRNA
Rfam family: Bacterial small subunit ribosomal RNA
Source: RNAcentral